This 77-nucleotide transfer RNA is filed under the name Flavobacteriales bacterium. RNAcentral describes it as "tRNA-Arg". It matches the Rfam family "tRNA". Rfam says of the family: Transfer RNA (tRNA) molecules are approximately 80 nucleotides in length. Their secondary structure includes four short double-helical elements and three loops (D, anti-codon, and T loops). The record is from RNAcentral. Lineage: Bacteria; Pseudomonadati; Bacteroidota; Flavobacteriia; Flavobacteriales.
GCGCCUGUGGCUCAAUUGGAUAGAGCAUCUGACUUCGGAUCAGAGGGUUGGGGGUUCGAGUCCCUCCGGGCGUGCUA